Molecule: small RNA, 70 nt
Filed under: Dactyliosolen fragilissimus
Lineage: Eukaryota; Bacillariophyta; Coscinodiscophyceae; Rhizosoleniales; Rhizosoleniaceae
Description: partial Mitochondrion-encoded tmRNA
Source: RNAcentral
AAUGUACAUUUUGGAAUUCCUAAUUUAACUCCAGAUUCCAAUAAAAAAGGGACCAAUGUUACAAUUGACU